RNAcentral lists this unclassified non-coding RNA (153 nucleotides) under uncultured Sarea. RNAcentral's name for it is "sequence contains ITS2". Lineage: Eukaryota; Fungi; Ascomycota; Lecanoromycetes; Pertusariales; Pertusariaceae. The record is from RNAcentral.
CACCACUCAAGCUCUGCUUGGUAUUGGGCCCUCGUCCUCCAGGGGACGUGCCCGAAAAUCAGUGGCGUCGCCGCCUGACUUCAAGCGCAGUAAUCUUCUCUCGCUUUGGAAGGAAGGGUCGGUCGACCGCCAGACAAACCAUCAUUUUUCUAU